RNAcentral lists this ribosomal RNA (1364 nucleotides) under Triticum aestivum (bread wheat). RNAcentral describes it as "partial small subunit ribosomal RNA". The record is from RNAcentral. Lineage: Eukaryota; Viridiplantae; Streptophyta; Magnoliopsida; Poales; Poaceae.
CCCAACAAUAUUAAAUGUUGUUAAACAUGGCAAGAGAGUGAAGCAAAGCAAAACUACCUAUCUAGUCAAGUUUAAAUGAGGCCGGGAACAACAAACAACAAAUUCCGGUAAAUCCCCAUAUGCAUAUUUUAGAUUAGGACCUGUUCUGCCCUAAACACAAUUUUAGGGUUGUUUAACAUGCAAAUAAAGGUCACCAUGUUAAACUAGGCAUUUUUCUACCCCAUUUACAUAUAAAGUUUAUUAAAAUCGGAGUUACGGUUAUUUAGUUAUGAAUUAAAUCAUUUUAACAUGGCAUAGGAGCAAAUUUAACCAAACAACAUUUUAAGCAUUUUAAACAUGGGUGAAAGUGACAUAUUAUUAAACUAGACAAAAUUCUGAGCAAGUUUCAUAUAUAAAUCAUUUUAAUCCGAUGCACGAAUUGUGAGUUAUUAUAUGCAUGACAACUAGGGGGGUUUUCUGUAAAACUGCAAUGCUCUGGAUAAUGGACAAAUUCGUAGACGCUGGAAAAAAACAUGAUAUGGGCCGAAUCUGGCUGGCCCGACAGGAGCAGUGGGUGCGGCUUGGGGUUCUCUCACCAUGGGACAAGCCCAGAACCGUGGAGAGGGCGCUGGGGCAGGCCGGCUGGGCCUUGCGGGCUGCGGCGAGACUUGGCGCUCCCGAGGCCACACGGAAGCGACGCGCUGCGGGCACGGUCAACGCGCCUGACUGGAUCGAGCCAUGCUCGAUGCAGGGGAAGCAGAGGGCGACGGCAGCGGGUCUCGGCGCGGGGAAGGAGGCAGACGGCGGACGCGGCAGGAGGUGGGGCCCACGGGCUGACGACGUCACGGACGCGAGCGAAGGAGCUCGUUGCCCACGGCCAUGGCUGCUCUCCUGUGCAACAAAACGACGACAAGACGGGGGAAAUCAAUAGCGAUGCGAGGGAAAAAGGCAGGGGGAAAUGGUGGAGGAGCUCGCCCACGGCUCCGGUUAGCUCGAGGAUCUCCGGCGACGAAGAGGGCGUUCCACGAGGAGCUUCGUUCGGUUCCCUGGGAGCAAAAGAGAGAGAGAUUAGAGAGGGAGAGAAGCAGGGGGAUAAAGAAGAGAAGGCAGGGCGUGAAGGGGCCGGCCUGGAGGAGCUUGGAGCUGCUGACGGCGAGCUGGCGGCACGGUGGUCGGGGCCGGGCGGCGCUGCUCUCGAUCCACCCUGGAUCGAGGCACAGGAGGAGGAGAGGAGACGCGGAUGGAUCGAUCUGGCUGGAUUUUUGGAUCGGGCAUCUGGCUGUGGUAGGUGGGGAACGAGGGGAUUGGGCAGGGGAGAAUGAGAGGAUCCCGAGGUAGCUUGUGAGUUGGUGGCACAGAAAUAGAUGAGAUACAGUGGGGCGACG